GCCGGGCAUGGUGGUGCAUGCCUGUAAUCCCAGCAGCUUGGGAGGCUGAGGCAGGAGGAUUGCAAGUUUGAGGCCAACCUCAACAACUUAGUGAGGACCUAAGCAAAUUAGUAAGACCCUGCCUCAA
RNAcentral lists this small RNA (127 nucleotides) under Marmota monax (woodchuck). The record is from RNAcentral. Lineage: Eukaryota; Metazoa; Chordata; Mammalia; Rodentia; Sciuridae.